GUUUUAAUAGUUUAAAAUAAAACAUUGAUCUUGUAAAUCAAAAUUGAAAUUAAUUCUUAAAACU
RNAcentral lists this transfer RNA (64 nucleotides) under Scelimena sp. 1 JL-2023a. RNAcentral's name for it is "tRNA-Thr". It matches the Rfam family "tRNA". From Rfam's summary of the family: Transfer RNA (tRNA) molecules are approximately 80 nucleotides in length. Lineage: Eukaryota; Metazoa; Arthropoda; Insecta; Orthoptera; Tetrigidae. The record is from RNAcentral.